Molecule: ribosomal RNA, 393 nt
Filed under: uncultured bacterium
Lineage: Bacteria
Description: partial 16S ribosomal RNA
Rfam family: Bacterial small subunit ribosomal RNA
Source: RNAcentral
AUACGGAGGAUGCAAGCGUUAUCCGGAUUUAUUGGGUUUAAAGGGUGCGUAGGCGGUUUGCUAAGCGGGAGGUGAAAUGCCGGCGCUCAACGUCGGAAGUGCCUCCCGAACUGGUGGACUGGAAUGACUCUGCCGUGGGAGGAAUGUGUAGUGGAGCGGUGAAAUGCUUAGAGAUUACACAGAACACCGAUUGCGAAGGCAUCUCACGAAGGGUUGAUUGACGCUGAGGCACGAAAGCGUGGGGAUCAAACAGGAUUAGAUACCCUGGUAGUCCACGCAGUAAACGAUGAUGGCUAACCGCUGGUUUAUUCGGAUCAGUGGCCAAGCGAAAGCGAUAAGCCAUCCACCUGGGGAGUACGACCGCAAGGUUGAAACUCAAAUGAAUUGGCGGGG